This 290-nucleotide long non-coding RNA is filed under the name Solanum tuberosum (potato). RNAcentral describes it as "long non-coding RNA (STUB_LNC001035)". The record is from RNAcentral. Lineage: Eukaryota; Viridiplantae; Streptophyta; Magnoliopsida; Solanales; Solanaceae.
AAGAAGAAGAUCAAUUGAUGACAUUUCAUCUUCGACCACUUCUUGGAGAACAGAGGUAAUCCCAAGUAUCUGAUUGAAAUGAGCUAAGUGUAAAUUCAAUUCUAUUGAGUACUCCUUCUUUAGUCUCCCCAAUUACCUUUUUUUUUAAAUGUGGGACUUCUCCAUGUUUGCCUCUAAGCCGGUAACCUGACCUGACUAAAAUGUGUAUGUGCUUCAACAUUUUGGUCACUGACUUAACAAAAUAAAACAGUGACACAUAGAAAGCAAAUCAUUCUCUUAAUCAUGGUUUN